CCAAGGUCCAAACAACGCCACUGAUGUCCAAGCAUCGCCGUCGAGGUCCAAGCAACGCUUUCAAGGUCGAAGCAACGCCGCCAAGGUCGAUGCAACGUUUCCAAGGAUGAAACAACGCUGCCAAGGCCUAAGUAAUGUUGUCGAGGUCUAAGCAACAUUGAUAAGAUCGAAGCUAUGCCGCCAAGGUCAAAGCAGCGUUGCCAAGGCUUAAACUACGGGUACAAACUAGCUCGAAUGAGCCCAAAGCAUUCAAAGUAUUCAAAGCGUACAAAGCAUUCAAAGUGUACAAAGUAUUCAAAGCACUCAAAGUAUCCUAGGACUCAAGUAGCCCUACCCUAGUCAAAUCUAUAAUGCUUCGACCCAAAAAAAUGGACAAAGCCCUAAGCAGUUCUUGAUAUGUGCUUUUACAAAACUAAAGAUAAAAAUCUCCAAAUAUACUACAAACGACACAGUUAGGUCCUAUGAAGGCCUAUUGAGCCCUGCCGUUGCCGUUUUUCGACCAUCUCCGUCGCCGGCGAGACCGUCGCUCUUCCUCCGAUGUCGGCCACCCCUCUCCCUAUGAAAUUUCGCCGCCGCUAUUGAAACACUAGCGCCACCAUCACCUACCUAUCACGCCCUGAGGUUGCGAUAAUGUUCAUUGUAGCGAGCAACCGCAAGAUCGGUGCAGACCUUCAUCUUUACCGAGCAAUUCCACUGUAGAUUUUCUCCGCCGCCACCGGCACGACCCCCCUAUCACCCUGCUCCGCGGUAACCGUCCGGCCGGCAGCAAGAUGCCACCCUUAUUUCUCACCCUAAAAAUAAAUUGUCGCCGCUUCCUAUUACGAUGAAAUCUGCACCUCCUUCUUGGCCAUCAAUCCUGUCUCUCCUUCGUGCUUACCAUCUCUGCCCGCAACACCAAACACUGUUACGACACCAAACACAAUCGCCAUGCCUGCGCGGCUCCAGAUUGCUGGAAUAUAUCAUCGACACCGCCGCAAGGGAAUCAGACACAACAGUUAACCCCAUAAUACCGCUAAUAUCUCGAUCGAUCGUGCUUAAAGACUGACUCAAAUUCAUCAAUGAACGAAGCCUUAGAUGGCGAUGACGCAUGAAGUUGCUUCCGCUGAUUCCCAAAAAACCGAAGCAAAUUUUGGAAAAUCUUUUAUCCAGACACAAGAAUUCGACCUCUUAUCACCUUCAAAAUCUGGCCGUACCAGCCUUAUCCACUAAUAACCAAUACUUUUGAUCGCGUCGCCCUAGAUCCUGAGUCAUCAGGCUGCUCUGCUCUAUUAGCUCUGCCGCUCUCGAUUUGGCUAGCAACCGUGGCUGUUGUCAAACACACAACUUCGGUAUCACCGCUCUCACGAUGUCGAACACAACCAAAGCCUCAAUAAGUGCAGUCACCACUGUCUUUCUCAACCUCCAUUCACAGUUCAGCUCCAACAAUCCAGAGUCCUUGAUCCCCAAAAUUCUCAAAUUUAUUCAUAAAAGCCAAACCCAAAAUCACCCCAAAGCAAAUCCUCCAUUGGGGGUGACUCCCAGUGUAGCCGCUGAGAACCACAGCUAAUCCGAUCACCAUCAUCUCUGUUAGGAAAGCCAACAAAGACUGGAGAACAUAACACUUCCAAGGGUGAUACCCCUGCACCUUGAGAAGCCUAAAGCUCUCUUCUAUUACGAAAUCGCAGCUCUGCGCAAAAUUGGCCACCGCCUAUUCAGAAUCGCCAAAGUUCGACGAUGGCAACUUUGAGGGUUGCCCAGCCUAUAUCACCGCCGCUAGGCCGUAGACCCCCAUCCCCUAGCUCAAACUCAUCAACAACGGGAAAACCCAUUGUGAAUUUGUUGCUUCACCGAGCCAAAGUUCUCAUAGCUCUGAAAAACCUUGCCUCUUUGACUCCCCAAUUCCAGUGACUCAGUCUUUACGUUGAAUUCCUGUCCUACUGCUGGUCUACUAAAUGAAAAGGAAAAAGAAAAAGAAAAGGUCUCCAUUCGUCCUCACCAUGACCGCCGCUCGUAUCCUUCCACUAAACAUAGCAAAGGUCAUUGCCGUUGCUGAACUCGCUCAUUUCAUUUUUCAAAAUUUCAACUCGUGGACAAUUGCUACUCACCGAUCCUCGAAUCUCAAAAUCUUAUUCCUGACCGCAUCCAACCCCGAAGCUACUAUUUCAACAUAAGACCGUUAUCUCUGUGAAUGGAUUCUCCUUGGGCAGAGGGAUAAUUAAUGAU
Molecule: long non-coding RNA, 2202 nt
Filed under: Salvia miltiorrhiza (redroot sage)
Lineage: Eukaryota; Viridiplantae; Streptophyta; Magnoliopsida; Lamiales; Lamiaceae
Description: long non-coding RNA (SMIL_LNC001198)
Source: RNAcentral